GAACGCAAGGCUUCGGCCUUGAGUGGCGCACGGGUGAGUAGCGCGUGGGAACCUGCCCUGGAGUGGGGGAUAACCGAGGGAAACUUCGGCUAAUACCGCAUGCGCCCGGAGCAAUCCGGGGAAAGAUUUAUCGCUCUAGGAGGGGCCCGCGUCGGAUUAGCUAGUUGGUGGGGUAACGGCCUACCAAGGCGAUGAUCCGUAGCUGGUCUGAGAGGAUGAUCAGCCACACUGGGACUGAGACACGGCCCAGACUCCUACGGGAGGCAGCAGUGGGGAAUAUUGCGCAAUGGGCGAAAGCCUGACGCAGCAACGCCGCGUGAGUGAUGAAGGCCUUCGGGUCGUAAAGCUCUGUCGGAGGGAACGA
Molecule: ribosomal RNA, 364 nt
Filed under: uncultured bacterium
Lineage: Bacteria
Description: bacterial SSU rRNA
Rfam family: Bacterial small subunit ribosomal RNA
Source: RNAcentral